GGUGUUCGAGAACUUGCUAUUUGUUGUGCUAUCUGACCCAGCUGAACUUCAAGAUUUUUUAUAGAGGCGGUGUUGUUUUUAUAGUUGUUUCUAGUCUCUUCUUGGAAUUGCAGAAAUUGAGCGGUCAUGUUUUCAAUGGCAAUCUCCUAGUCUGCUUUCCUUGGACCUUAUUGUUGCUACUGUUGUUGAUAUUGAGUCUGAU
Molecule: long non-coding RNA, 202 nt
Filed under: Lathyrus oleraceus (garden pea)
Lineage: Eukaryota; Viridiplantae; Streptophyta; Magnoliopsida; Fabales; Fabaceae
Description: Pisum sativum (pea) long non-coding RNA (PSAT_LNC009522)
Source: RNAcentral